RNAcentral lists this ribosomal RNA (119 nucleotides) under Helianthus annuus (common sunflower). The record is from RNAcentral. Lineage: Eukaryota; Viridiplantae; Streptophyta; Magnoliopsida; Asterales; Asteraceae.
GGUUGCGAUCAUACCAGCACUAAUGCACCGGAUCCCAUCAGAACUCUGCAGUUAAGCGUGCUUGGGCGAGAGUAAUACUAGGAUGGGUGACCUCCUGGGAAGUCCUCGUAUUGCAAACC